AUCAAACUGACGAGUCUCAAAUAAAACAAAACGCGCGUCAAACUGGAU
This 48-nucleotide non-coding RNA is filed under the name Schistosoma margrebowiei. Lineage: Eukaryota; Metazoa; Platyhelminthes; Trematoda; Strigeidida; Schistosomatidae. The record is from RNAcentral.